UUCCAAAAGCAUCAUUAAUGGAUUUAAUUGCAUCAAAUUAAGAAUUUCUGUGAACAAAGUUAGCACAAAGAUGUUGCAGAGACAUGAUAUUUAUCGUGUCUAAAAUCACAAAGAAAUUAUUAUCUAGACUAUACCAGGAACUCAUGCAUAAGCAUAGAAAUCCCAAAUUUUAAAAAUGAGUAGAGGAUAUUUGAGUCACUUCAUAGUCAAAGAAACCCAAAGUUUUAACAAAAUAUAUGAUUCAUGCCCAAUAUCAUUAGUAAUCAUAGGAAUGCAAAUUAAAACAAAAAAGAGAUAUCUCUUUAGACCCACCAGAUGCUAAAUGCAGAGUGUUGAGUGAAAAAAAUAAGAAACACAAGACAAUGCAUGUAAAUUAAAACUACAAAAAAUAAUGCAUGGUUUGCACUAAUGCUUUAAAGUAGAUGAAUAUAAACCAAAUAUAUAUUAAGAAAUUGGAAAAGAGGACCAAAGGUCUUGCAAAAACCGAUGACCACCAGAUGACCAGAAACGCAGAGGAUUACUAAGGAACUCUUGGCUCAUUAAAAGAAAGCAAAACCGUAGUAUGCAGGUGAAAUUACACUAUGUCAUCUUGGACUGCCAAUUCCACCGUGGGAGUCCUGGCACAGGCCCCCCAGCUCAGGAGCCCGCCGUCAUCUAAGCUCUUCGCUUCCCUGUGAAUCUCCUGGCUCCCCACAGUCUUAACCAUCCUUCUGUAGGCUGAGGAUAAGAUGGCUCUUCAUCUAGAUUUCCAAAUAUUUCUAUUCCUACAGAACUGUAGCAUUGGAAUAAGCAAGCGAUGCUUUUUCUUUAUAUAAAUUGAAAUUUUGACCAAAACUUUUUUCUCUUAUUUUCUUGUAUCCUCUUUUCUACCCAUUCCCUCAGCAGAAUUUAUUGCCUCCAGGAAGGGAUAAUAUAGCAGAGAAGCGGAGAAAAUCUUUUUGGUGUUAAAAGUAUAACUAUGAAGCACAUAACUUCUAGGCCAUAAAAUAUUAUAUUUGGAAAACCAGAUAAAGAGCCAGGUGAGCUGUCCUCAAACUACAUAAAGAUGGUCAGGACUGCGGGGAACGAGAGCUGCCACAGCAUGAGCAGACCUUAGAUGACAGUGGGCCCUGAACUCUGUGUCCUGUAGGAAGUCCUCCCCAUGGGAACUGAGAAUCCAAGAUCAGACGGAACAGGGCCCCUAGCCCCAGGGGAGAGUCUGGAGUCAGCAGGAUGCUUGCAUUCCUGGUCCAUCAGCCUGGCUCCCUAGCAUGGCACCGGGACAGACCUGAGGCCACCUCACAGAGCAUCCUGCAAUAACGCAGGAACAGCCCUUGUGCCUGACAGCAGAGUGAGACAGCCGCUGUGAGAGCCCUUCGUCAGAUCAUGGUGGAUGCACCAGGGGCCCAAAGUCACAAUGGGAAUAGGGACACCUCAGAUAAGUCUAUGCGAAUGAAGAAUGAUUUCAAGGAAAGGACUUCUCCAUCCUCCUUAAAUCUUGCCCUAGAACUUAGACAUAACUCCACAGAAAGGAACAGUCGUUCUCAGUGUGGGGCUAUUUUGCCCCCCAGCAGAUAUUUGGCAAUGUCUAGAGACAAGUUUUGGUGGUGCUACUGGCAUCUGGUAGGCAGAGGUCAAGGAUGCUGCUGAACGCCCUGCAGUGCGCAGAACAGCUCCCAAAACACAGAAUGGCCCAGCCCAAAAUAUCAGUGAUCUCAAGGUUGAGAAACACUUCCCUAAACUGAAAUUAGGUUUUGCCUACUUGGCAUAAUAAGAGAUUUAUAAUAGAAAUUGUUCAUUUAUUUAAAAAUAAGGAAAAUUAUGCCUAAUUCAUGGAUUGAAAUGUGCAACCACUUGUUUAUGCUAAGGAAUAUAUUCCCUCUCUGAUAUAAAAAAAGUCAACAAUCAUCAGUUUUGCAUUUAGUGAAAAGUUUUGAGGGUGGAAGAAAAGCUGAAGUAGCUUUAAAGGAAGAUAAAGUAACCCCCACACAAGAAGGAAAGAGAAAUGGAGGCAAGAAGACAGAUGCUAGAAGCUCAGAACAAUAUCCGAAGCAAGUGAGAGGAGGAAAGCAAGGCAGAAGAAAAUGAUGUUCAGCUAAGUCAUCCAUGGAGCACCAUUCAGCAGAGAAUAAGCCGUUCCUGACCAAGGACAAUGGGGACCAUGAGCAUUUCUCAGAGAGGUGAGGUUAGUUUUCUUCCAGGCUCUGAAGUUUACUAAGAAGAGGGCACGAAAACCCCAAGACUACCAACUUGCCAGGAAGAUUAUCUGCAGAAGGAAAAACUGGAAGCACUUUCAAAAAUAGUACAAUUGAAAACAAAAGCCAGAAACAAUGAAGACACGGAAAAGGGAGAAAAGGAGAAGGGAAGGAGGGAGGGAGAGAAGGAGAGAGGAAUGGAGGAGAGGACAGGAGAGAGAGAGAGCUCUAGAAAUAAUUGCAAUGAGUAAUAAGUAAAUUACUCUUAUGUUAAUGACAUGCCAAAGUGUUCCAUUUUUAUGUGAAAGCAAAUAACUAUGAAGUAUCUUCAACAUAAACACUGAUUAAAGGAGAUUAAAUGUCUUGGGAAGAAAUGUCAUAACAUUACACAGUGUCAGUUUGCGGUGUUCUCAAAAUGUUAAUGACCUCCAGCUUCAGCUGCUUCCAUUACCGUGGAUCUCAGGGGAGAGAAACCUCAGCUGCAGGGCUCCCGGAGGAGCGCAGAGCAUCCUCCCUUCUCCUCGCUGUUAAUAG
This 2708-nucleotide long non-coding RNA is filed under the name Equus asinus (donkey). RNAcentral describes it as "lncRNA (ENSEASG00005030844.1)". The record is from RNAcentral. Lineage: Eukaryota; Metazoa; Chordata; Mammalia; Perissodactyla; Equidae.